GACGAGUGGCGGACGGGUGAGUAAUGUCUGGGAAACUGCCUGAUGGAGGGGGAUAACUACUGGAAACGGUAGCUAAUACCGCAUAACGUCGCAAGACCAAAGGGGGGGGACCUUCGGGCCUCUUGCCAUCGGAUGUGCCCAGAUGGGAUUAGCUUGUUGGUGGGGUAACGGCUCACCAAGGCGACGAUCCCUAGCUGGUCUGAGAGGAUGACCAGCCACACUGGAACUGAGACACGGUCCAGACUCCUACGGGAGGCAGCAGUGGGGAAUAUUGCACAAUGGGCGCAAGCCUGAUGCAGCCAUGCCGCGUGUAUGAAGAAGGCCUUCGGGUUGUAAAGUACUUUCAGCGGGGAGGAAGGGAGUAAAGUUAAUACCUUUGCUCAUUGACGUUACCCGCAGAAGAAGCACCGGCUAACUCCGUGCCAGCAGCCGCGGUAAUACGGAGGGUGCAAGCGUUAAUCGGAAUUACUGGGCGUAAAGCGCACGCAGGCGGUUUGUUAAGUCAGAUGUGAAAUCCCCGGGCUCAACCUGGGAACUGCAUCUGAUACUGGCAAGCUUGAGU
This 562-nucleotide ribosomal RNA is filed under the name uncultured Pseudomonadota bacterium. Its description in RNAcentral is "bacterial SSU rRNA". It matches the Rfam family "Bacterial small subunit ribosomal RNA", at positions 90 to 647 of the family's 1533-position model. The record is from RNAcentral. Lineage: Bacteria; Pseudomonadati; Pseudomonadota.